AGGGAUAUAGCUCAGUGGUAGAGUGCGAGUCUAGCAUGCACAAGCCUGGGGUUCAAAUCACAAUACCCCAA
RNAcentral lists this transfer RNA (71 nucleotides) under Marmota marmota marmota (Alpine marmot). RNAcentral also lists the same sequence under 1 other name. Lineage: Eukaryota; Metazoa; Chordata; Mammalia; Rodentia; Sciuridae. The record is from Rfam by way of RNAcentral.